RNAcentral lists this transfer RNA (69 nucleotides) under bovine gut metagenome. It matches the Rfam family "tRNA". From Rfam's summary of the family: Transfer RNA (tRNA) molecules are approximately 80 nucleotides in length. Their secondary structure includes four short double-helical elements and three loops (D, anti-codon, and T loops). The record is from RNAcentral.
CGAUUUAGCACAGUGGUAGUGCAACGCAUUCGUAACGCGUAGGUCGGGGGUUCAAAUCCCUCAAUCGGC